ACGGAAGUCGUUGUAAUGAAAUAGAAACGGACAGAGAACUUGUUCGAAGAAAGUGGAAGUAGACUUACAACAAUGGCUUUAGUGGCGGACUGGUGAGUAACGCGUAAGGAACCUGCCUUCUAGAGGGGAAUAACAAUGAGAAAUCAUUGCUAAUACCGCAUAUGCCGAGAGAAUCACAUGGUACAAUCGGGAAAAGAGUAAUCUGCUAGAAGAUGGCCUUGCGUCUGAUUAGAUAGUUGGUGGGGUAACGGCCUACCAAGUCGACGAUCAGUAGCCGGACUGAGAGGUUGAACGGCCACAUUGGGACUGAGAUACGGCCCAGACUCCUACGGGAGGCAGCAGUCGGGAAUAUUGCGCAAUGGAGGAAACCCUGACGCAGUGACGCCGCGUAUAGGAAGAAGGUUUUCGGAUUGUAAACUAUUGUCGUUAGGGAAGAGAAAGGACAGUACCUAAGGAGGAAGCUCCGGCUAACUACGUGCCAGCAGCCGCGGUAAUACGUAGGGAGCGAGCGUUAUCCGGAAUUAUUGGGUGUAAAGGGUGCGUAGACGGGAAGAUAAGUUAGUUGUGAAAUCCCUCGGCUUAACUGAGGAACUGCAACUAAAACUGUUUUUCUUGAGUGCAGGAGAGGUAAGUGGAAUUCCUAGUGUAGCGGUGAAAUGCGUAGAUAUUAGAGGAA
Molecule: ribosomal RNA, 676 nt
Filed under: uncultured bacterium
Lineage: Bacteria
Description: bacterial SSU rRNA
Rfam family: Bacterial small subunit ribosomal RNA
Source: RNAcentral